Molecule: long non-coding RNA, 3443 nt
Organism: Sapajus apella (tufted capuchin)
Lineage: Eukaryota; Metazoa; Chordata; Mammalia; Primates; Cebidae
Exons: 2
Source: RefSeq, a predicted model, not a curated record
CCAAAGUACUGGGAUUACAGGUGUGUGCCACUGUGCUCAGCCAUUAGAGGAAUUUUUUUUUUUUUUUUUUUAAGGUGUUGACAAAUAUAGAGGAUUUGGAGAUUUCUGACAGAUUUUGGAGGACAUCAUAUUUUCUUCUUUGACUGCAAAUCCAGCUGAGCUACCAUGGUACUGUUGUAGAGAGCUUCCAUUUCUCUGAGUAGCUUUUCUUAGAACAUUAACCGCCCCGCACCUUUACCUUGUGCCUCCACCCUGCAAGUUUUUAAGCACAUUUGUGAUUGAGUAGAGGGGAGAGCACUCUGGGGAGAGGAAGUCACAGGGCAAUGUGGGUGCUGCUUGCUGAUGACUGAGCCCCCUCUACCCUCAAAGUAAAAAGCCAAACCCCGUGAGUGAUGCUCUUUCCCCCAGGAAUCUGACUUGGCUUUGCCACCAGACUCUUUUGCUUACAAAACCACUUUCUCUGACAUGUCUUCCUGACCAUGAAUUGCUUUUCCACACUAUUGUCAGGGUAGCACUUUCUGGGUGCCAUGUGUAUUAGUCUGUUUCCACAUUGCUAUAAAGAACUGCCUGAGAUUGGGUAAUUUAUAAAGGAAAGAGGUUAAACUGACUCACAGUUCAGCAUGCCUGGGGAGGCCUCCGGAAACUUACAGUCAUGGCGGAAGGCGAAGGGGAAGCAAGGCACCUUCUUCACAGGGCGGCAGGAAGGAGAAUGAACACAGGAGGAACUAGCAAACAUGUACAAACCCAUCAGAUCUCCUGAGAACUCACUAUCAUGAGAACAGCCCAGGGGGACCACACCCAUGAUCCAGUUACCUCCACCCGGUUUCUCCCUUGACGUGUGGGGAUCACGGGGAUUAAAGGGUUAUAAUUCAAGAUGAGAUUUGUGUGGGGACACAGGGCCUAACCAUGUCACCAUGCCCGUGUAUUACUGGUUAUGUUUCACGCCAGAGGCCUUUAUUUUCCUGUGCUAUUUCUUGGUAGGUUUCCCUGUGAACAGUUAGGUAGAGUCCCAGGGACAUGGGUCCACUCUGUGUCUGUAUCUGUGACGGUGAACUUCAACUUGUUCCAGGGCCACAUCCCACAGCUACAGCUCAGGAAUCCCUUUGCAAAUGUGAGCUAUUAGUGGUAGUGGGGUCUAGAGAAGGGGGUGUGGACUGGCCAGUGCAAAUCUAUUGUCACUGCAGGAAAAGCCCCUCCCAGAGCUCUCUCUGCCUUGACCUGGUGGGAGUGCGGCACAUUCCAUUUAAUCUCCUGAUAAAUGACAAUCGACCCUCUACUUUGGAGACAGCGUGAGAUUAGACUGUGAAACAUAGGAGCUUGGGAUAACUGAGUCAUUGUGCAAUUUUUGGAAUCAUCUUUUAUUUGGCCGAUAGUAUCUUUUUUGAUUGACUUAUACCAAGUCUCUGUCAGGUAGUGAAAUGACGUGAAGCUGCAGUGUGUGGUGAGCAGAUGAGCAUAACCUUCCUUGCUUAUGCUGAUUUCCUGCAUAUAUUCGUGCAUUCUGAAUGAGCUGGCCAAGGGUUGGACGUCUCGUAUUUGUAAAGAAUAUUUUAGAUUUUCUUGUUAAAUAAGCUGAUUUCUCAUUUGUCACCGUUUAUGUCUCUUGAUGUUCCAGGCUUAGAUUUGGCUUCUUUGCCUGAUGGGAUGAGCAUUUCUGGAGCAUCUCCUGUAUGCCAGGCACCGCGUCAGGCACUGGAGAGGUGUCACAGUGGCUAAGGCAGCAUCCAUGCCUGACGGCGCAUUUGCAGAAGCAGAUCCUGGUGCAUGUGCCAGUUUGUAAAGUCGCAUAUACCAUUCUUGGUCUGAGCACUGGGGCUUUGGGCAGAAAGGAAGUGGGCACAGUGAUACAGGAGAGACGUGCAGAGUUUCUGUUUUUGUUUUUGCUGUUACUGUGUCGGGCCUUGUUCCUGUUGCUGUAGAGCUCAUAACCUAGUAGGGAAAAUGCUGGAACCAAGACUUUAUCAUUCACUAGCUCUGUGACCUGGAUAGUCUCUCCUCCCUGAGCCUUGCUGGCUUCAGCGUUGUAGCACUAGAUGCUCUCUAGGCACCCUCAGCUCAACUCCGUUGCCCCGGCAAUGUCCCCACACCAGAGCUUCCACCAGCCAGCCUUCCUAUCUCUCAGUGACCUCUGGCACUUUUAGAUGGCUGAGCUAAAAGCGCCUGAUUUUGUGAAUCAGGCUUGUGUGAGUUGAGGAAAUGUUGUGUGGGAGACAGUUGACUUUCUACAAGUGAAGAAGAAAAGGAAACACAAUCCCAUAAAAUAUACGUUUUUUAAAAAUGGAAAGGGGGACAGGAAAGCAUUGGGGAGAAUAGCUGCAGUCAUUGAAGAAAGUAUUUCAACUUCAGAGUUUGGGGUGCACCCCAGCUUUUCAGCCGCAUGCACACCUACCUAGUCAGUCCCAAACAUCUUUCCCCCUUUUCUUCCCUUCUGGUUCUGUGCUGCCAACUGACUCAACUCUGCACCCUCCUCCCCUGAAGUUGAGGCCCGAGAGGACAGAAAUUGGGCUGGAACUAAUUUAAUGGCUGAGUGACCUCACAGUAGAGAAACAGCCGGAUCCUAAUAGGGGUCUUUGUCUACAUUUCCACCCUGGCUGGUAGCAUGCCAGUCAAGAGUCAAGCUGGAGACACAGGUGGAAGCGAUUAGACCUGUCAUAAAGUUUGAAAAAUUGAUUCUGGAGGCGAAGUGAAUAGAUUGAGCUUGACAGUGUUGUCCUAAAGAUUCUAAGGGAAAAUUCUAUAGUUUAAUUUGAAAUCCCUUGAUUAUUCAUUAGCUUUCCAGAUGGCUUUUGUUGAUGUUUUACAUAUUAAUGCCUGUAUUGUGUUAUUGGUGUACUCUUAAUGUGCACAUAGGUAAUGAGCAAAGAAUAAAUACAUUGGUAAGUGUCCCAAAUUAAUGGGAUAUUAGGGUAAUUGUGAAAGGGUUUUAAAGACGUUGAUUGCUUGGAAUAAUUAGUGCGAAUUUUUUUAUGUGUCAGUUUGGUACUUUAAAAGUGAAAAUUAUUGAAGAAUUUUUAAAAAUCUUCAUUUUAAUAUUUACUUCUAAAGUUUAAAAUGUAACUUUAGCCUUUGACUUUGGCAGCGGUGUGACAGAAGGGUUAUUCUGGCAAGUUCUCCAUCAAAACUUUGUUGUUGUUGUUCUAAUUCAACACAUGAAUAAGUUAACUUUUCACAUGCCAAGCUCCUGAAGUUGAAUUAUCCUGUGGCCUGGUAUUUUUCAGAGAUGCUUCUACAUUAACUUUUAGUGUUCUUGGUUGUUUGUUUUCGUGUUUUGUAACUGAUUUUUUAAGUAGGGGAGAGUUCUGAUGUUUACCGUUUAUGAUAGCGAUAGUGUGUUCUAUUUGGGUGACAUUUUCAUUAGAACUCACCGUCCCAGUGUCCUCUCAGCAUUGAUGCUGAUGUCUUCAUCAAUUUGGGGUGCCAUCCACUGAGUGACCUGUAAACAA